This 156-nucleotide small RNA is filed under the name Gardnerella vaginalis ATCC 14019. It matches the Rfam family "Bacterial large subunit ribosomal RNA", at positions 13 to 179 of the family's 2925-position model. The record is from RNAcentral. Lineage: Bacteria; Bacillati; Actinomycetota; Actinomycetes; Bifidobacteriales; Bifidobacteriaceae.
AAGGGCGUAUGGUGGAUGCCUUGGUAGACAGGACCGAUGAAGGACGUGACGGGCUGCGAUAUGCCUCGGGGAGCUGCCGAGUGGGCUUUGAUCCGAGGAUUUCCGAAUGGGGAGACCCGGCCACUGUUAUGGGUGGUCACCACAGUUUUUGUGGGG